GGGAAAACAACCAGAAUGGACAUUGUCCAGGCUUUCAGAGUGGCACAGCAAGAAAAGUGCACUAUUGUAACAGCAUCAGAAGCAGAAAUCACAGAUGGCACAACAAGAAAAUAACCCAACUUUUAUUUUCUCUCCUUUUUCCCCUAGCAGCACCUCCAGUUUUUGGAGAGCUAGACAUUGUGAAAGGUGCAGCACUGGCAGAUGCACUGCCAUUCUGGUGCAGAAGACAGAGACCCUGGGAGGGCUCUGCRGCCCUUCACUCCUCUCUCAGCGAGUCGUGUGCCUUAUCACAAGUGAGUGAAGUUUCAUUGGAUGAAUUUCAACCAACAACUGGAAUACUUCCAAAUUUUUCUGGGAAAAACAAAAGGCAUUUAAGAAGGUUGAGAUGUAAUCAAGUUUGGAAGAACUCUCUUUUGAAUAACUAG
RNAcentral lists this long non-coding RNA (425 nucleotides) under Apteryx rowi (Okarito brown kiwi). RNAcentral describes it as "lncRNA (ENSARWG00000007964.1)". The record is from RNAcentral. Lineage: Eukaryota; Metazoa; Chordata; Aves; Apterygiformes; Apterygidae.